UAAGAACAAAACCUUAAUCCCACCACCCUCCGUCGACGGUGAUGCUCUGAUGACCCACAAAAUUACACCAUCUCACCUCCUCGAUCUCUUCUUUCCAUUUUUGCCAUUGGUAUCCUUCCAAUAGCAGCCAAACUCGUCGAAUAUUCGUUUGAAUCGAUGAUUGCUCCGCUACACAUGGCGGCGCCAAUGACAAAUGACUAAAAUCAACACCCGAGCAUCCCCACUAUCCCCUCUCCAAUAAUCCAUGGCUGACAACCCUCGAAUCCUCCAUCUCUUUGAAUCUUAGAUCGCCGUCGAGCCCUAAAAAGUAAAAAUCAAGUUCCUUUGUUGUUCUCGGUUCAAAAUGAUUUUAGUCAUAUGCUCUCUAGGAGAACAUACGAUUAAUAUCCUUUUAAACCAAAUACAUGAAGUUUGAGGAUUUGAGAAUCUUGGUUCAAAUUAUAGUAAGUUUCCUUUUCGUUUUGUAGCUUUCAUUAUGGUCGUCCUUUCUGCUUUCUUCUACUAGAUUUCUUCUCUUAGCAUUCCUUUUUACAUGCAUAUUGAGUUUUAGGAAGUUUUUUUUAUUAAUUAGUUUGCCUAUUAGGUAACUGUGAUCCACGUUAUUGUUAGUUCUGUAGUUGAAAGAAAAGGAAGAAGAGGAAAAGAAAGACGUUAAAUGACUUGAUUGCUUCUGCUUCAUUGUCGUUUCAAUCAGGGGUUUUGGUAAGAUUUUGUUUCAGGCUGGGGUUUUUUACCACUAAAUUUUGGGGCUGGUUUGGAUUAAACCUAGGAAAUCAGCAGCCCAGUGUUACUUUAGUUGGGUCAAUCUAGACCCAUUGAAUUGGGUCGUUUGGCCCGGACCUUUGUUUGGUAGAAUAGAGGUAAAAUACAGGGGUUGUAAGGGUUAGUUCAGGAAUUAUAGAAUAGGGAAUCUUCCAUAAAAGACAUGGAAGCUUCUAGCAGGGAUAUCUUGCUAAUUUUGGUUUUAUAACUUGGUUAACAAGUUUUAAAAUGAAGGACUAGAUUAAAAUAAAAAGAUUUGAAGGCUGCCCUACUUUGCUUGCCUAUAAAGGCAUUGCAAACCUGCAUUUCAAGGUAGAUCCUAAGACUGGCAGAAUUGUGAAAACUCAAAAAGGUUUUUAGGAGUCUAAAUAUAAAAGAAAACUAAUAUUUUAUUGAAAGAAAGAGAGGGCUAAAAAUAGAGAGAAAUUUGAGGCGGAUGUUGUUUUUAAUCAUUGUUCCAUGGAGACUUAAUUUUGAACUUUGGAGUCUUUUUGAAUAGCUGAAGCAAAUUUAAAAUUUACAUUGAUUUUAAAAUGGUUUGAGGUUGAAUUUUUGAAAUUUCUGGUCUAAGCUGCUUUGAAAUCACUGUUCCAUUGGUUUCAUACCUUGAGAAUUCAACCUCUUGGACCUGGGAACGAUCUGGUGCUAUUACUGUUACUUUUCUCACCUUUUCGUUUGUUUUAUCCAUGUAUUUCCUUGGCUCAUGGUUGAGGUUUGAUUGUUGAGCACGAAAUAGUCGAAGUUUUGUUAAAUGAAGACCUUAUUUGAUGCUGAAUAUCUCCUCUCUUUUACUGUUUCAUGUUCUAUAAUUAGAGUUUAAGAAAUAAAUGUUAAUUAAGGCUUCCUAUUCCUUUGAAAUAUAGUGUGUGAGAAUAAUGUGGUGUUGUACUUUGCAUUCUGUGUCCAUAAUUGAACAUUGGACUUUAAUUGUCUGAGUUCAUGUUGGAUGCUGCAUCUGGGUGCUAGUAUUUGUGAAUGUCUGGCUAAGGAUCACUCAGAUUUGGUCUUGAAAUUCAUAGUCGAUACUCUAGGGUAAUAUAUCUUUAAAUUUGUUUAUGUUUUUAGCUACAAUUAGCUGAUAUUGUCAUAUUAUUUGUGUUCAAUUAUCUAAAAAUAGAAAUGCUAACUCUUAUAGCAUGAAGUCCUGCCCGUUUAAGGUUCAGGACUGCAGAUGUGAUUCCAGCAUGAUUUGGGAUGAUUUGGAUGGUUGUUGAUUAUAUUAGCUUGCUAAACCUAUAUGUGGGCUAUUCGUGUAUUAGCUUGAGAUGUUAAGUGUGUAUUAACCGAAUGAUCUAUUCCCUCAACAUUAACUGUGAAACUGUUUGGUUUUGAGUGUGACUAAAAGCUGAAGUGUUUGCAG
Molecule: long non-coding RNA, 2122 nt
Filed under: Nicotiana benthamiana
Lineage: Eukaryota; Viridiplantae; Streptophyta; Magnoliopsida; Solanales; Solanaceae
Description: long non-coding RNA (NBEN_LNC012335)
Source: RNAcentral